GCCGGAUGCAGUGGCGCAUGCCUGUAAUACCAGCAGCUAGGGAGGCUGAGGCAGGGGGAUUGCAAGUUCAAAACCAGCUUUAGCAACUUAGUGAGAUGCUAAGCAACUUAGCAAGACCCUGUCUCUA
RNAcentral lists this small RNA (127 nucleotides) under Marmota monax (woodchuck). The record is from RNAcentral. Lineage: Eukaryota; Metazoa; Chordata; Mammalia; Rodentia; Sciuridae.